UGCAAGUCGAGCGGUAAGGCCCUUCGGGGUACACGAGCGGCGAACGGGUGAGUAACACGUGAGCAACCUGCCCCUGACUCUGGGAUAAGCGGUGGAAACGCCGUCUAAUACCGGAUAUGACCUGUCGCCUCAUGGUGGUGGGUGGAAAGUUUUUCGGUCAGGGAUGGGCUCGCGGCCUAUCAGCUUGUUGGUGGGGUAACGGCCUACCAAGGCGAUUACGGGUAGCCGGCCUGAGAGGGCGACCGGCCACACUGGGACUGAGACACGGCCCAGACUCCUGCGGGAGGCAGCAGUGGGGAAUAUUGCACAAUGGGCGCAAGCCUGAUGCAGCGACGCCGCGUGGGGGAUGACGGCCUUCGGGUUGUAAACCUCUUUUACCACCAACGCAGGCUCCACGUUUUCUUGGGGUUGACGGUAGGUGGGGAAUAAGGACCGGCUAACUACGUGCCAGCAGCCGCGGUAAUACGUAGGGUCCGAGCGUUGUCCGGAAUUAUUGGGCGUAAAGAGCUCGUAGGCGGCGUGUCGCGUCUGCUGUGAAAGACCGGGGCUUAACUCCGGUUCUGCAGUGGAUACGGGCAUGCUAGAGGUAGGUAGGGGAGACUGGAAUUCCUGGUGUAGCGGUGAAAUGCGCAGAUAUCAGGAGGAACACCGGUGGCGAAGGCGGGUCUCUGGGCCUUACCUGACGCUGAGGAGCGAAAGCAUGGGGAGCGAACAGGAUUAGAUACCCUGGUAGUCCAUGCCGUAAACGUUGGGCGCUAGGUGGUGGGGACUUUCCACGGUUUCCGCGCCGUAGCUAACGCAUUAAGCGCCCGCCCUGGGGGAGUACGGCCGCAAGGCUAAAACUC
RNAcentral lists this ribosomal RNA (845 nucleotides) under Nocardiopsis sp. 4SM5_02. RNAcentral's name for it is "bacterial SSU rRNA". It matches the Rfam family "Bacterial small subunit ribosomal RNA", at positions 56 to 902 of the family's 1533-position model. The record is from RNAcentral. Lineage: Bacteria; Bacillati; Actinomycetota; Actinomycetes; Streptosporangiales; Nocardiopsidaceae.